GUGGAGGUGACUCUAAGGCUAGUGCAACAGAAAAGAAACCGCCAAUUUUACGCAAUUUUGCGUAAAAUUUGGUGAGGGUGGAAUGGCGGGGUAAGAGCCCACCGCUCGGCUGGUAACAGGCGAGGCUGUGUAAACCCCAUCCGAAGCAAGACCGAACAGGAAGCGAUACGGCGGCCCGUCGUGCUUCCGGGUUGGUCGCGUUCUGUCCGGGGAACCGGGCAGAGGAGCUGUGCGGUAACGUACAGUCAAGAAAGAUGAUCGUCAAAUACAGAACCCGGCUUAUAGUGCUGCUCCAUAA
This 298-nucleotide RNase P RNA is filed under the name Lachnospiraceae bacterium. Its description in RNAcentral is "partial RNase P RNA component class A". It matches the Rfam family "Bacterial RNase P class A", at positions 88 to 367 of the family's 367-position model. From Rfam's summary of the family: Ribonuclease P (RNase P) is a ubiquitous endoribonuclease, found in archaea, bacteria and eukarya as well as chloroplasts and mitochondria. Its best characterised activity is the generation of mature 5'-ends of tRNAs by cleaving the 5'-leader elements of precursor-tRNAs. The record is from RNAcentral. Lineage: Bacteria; Bacillati; Bacillota; Clostridia; Lachnospirales; Lachnospiraceae.